Molecule: ribosomal RNA, 459 nt
Filed under: Neisseria mucosa
Lineage: Bacteria; Pseudomonadati; Pseudomonadota; Betaproteobacteria; Neisseriales; Neisseriaceae
Description: bacterial SSU rRNA
Rfam family: Bacterial small subunit ribosomal RNA
Source: RNAcentral
AUUGAACGCUGGCGGCAUGCUUUACACAUGCAAGUCGGACGGCAGCACAGAGAAGCUUGCUUCUUGGGUGGCGAGUGGCGAACGGGUGAGUAACAUAUCGGAACGUACCGAGCAGUGGGGGAUAACUGAUCGAAAGAUUAGCUAAUACCGCAUAUAUUCUGAGGAAGAAAGCAGGGGACCAUUUGGCCUUGCGCUGUUUGAGCGGCCGAUAUCUGAUUAGCUAGUUGGUGGGGUAAAGGCCUACCAAGGCGACGAUCAGUAGCGGGUCUGAGAGGAUGAUCCGCCACACUGGGACUGAGACACGGCCCAGACUCCUACGGGAGGCAGCAGUGGGGAAUUUUGGACAAUGGGCGCAAGCCUGAUCCAGCCAUGCCGCGUGUCUGAAGAAGGCCUUCGGGUUGUAAAGGACUUUUGUCAGGGAAGAAAAGGGUGGGGUUAAUACUCCCUGUCUGAUGAACG